GUGCCAGCAGCGCGGGUAAUACGGAGGAGGCAAGCGUUAUCCGGAAUUAUUGGGCGUAAAGCGUUCGCAGGUGGCUGUUCAAGUCUGCUGUCAAAGACCGGAGCUUAACUCCGGAAAGGCGGUGGAAACUGAAGAGCUAGAGUGCGGUAGGGGUAGAGGGAAUUCCCAGUGUAGCGGUGAAAUGCGUAGAGAUUGGGAAGAACACCGGUGGCGAAAGCGCUCUACUAGGCCGCAACUGACACUCAGGGACGAAAGCUAGGGGAGCGAAUGGGAUUAGAUACCCCAGUAGUCCUAGCUGUAAACGAUGGGUACUAGGCGUAGCUUGUAUCGACCCGAGCUGUGCCGAAGCUAACGCGUUAAGUACCCCGCCUGGGGAGUACGCACGCAAGUGUGAAACUCAAAGGAAUUGACGGGGGCCCGCACAAGCGGUGGAGUAUGUGGUUUAAUUCGAUGCAACGCGAAGAACCUUACCAGGGCUUGACAUCCGGCGAAUUCUCUGGAAACAGAGAAGUGCCUACGGGAGCGCCGUGACAGGUGGUGCAUGGCUGUCGUCAGCUCGUGUCGUGAGAUGUUGGGUUAAGUCCCGCAACGAGCGCAACCCUCGUCCUUAGUUGCCAGCAUUAAGUUGGGCACUUUAGGGAGACUGCCGGUGACAAACCGGAGGAAGGUGGGGAUGACGUCAAGUCAGCAUGCCCCUUACGUCCUGGGCAACACACGUACUACAAUGGUCGAGACAAAGGGCAGCCAACUCGCAAGAGUGAGCGAAUCUCAGCAAACUCGGCCUCAGUUCAGAUCGCAGGCUGCAACUCGCCUGCGUGAAGGAGGAAUCGCUAGUA
RNAcentral lists this ribosomal RNA (836 nucleotides) under uncultured organism. RNAcentral's name for it is "bacterial SSU rRNA". It matches the Rfam family "Bacterial small subunit ribosomal RNA", at positions 505 to 1340 of the family's 1533-position model. The record is from RNAcentral.